GAUGAACGCUGGCGGCGUGCCUAAUACAUGCAAGUCGAGCGAAUGGAUUAAGAGCUUGCUCUUAUGAAGUUAGCGGCGGACGGGUGAGUAAUACGUGGGUAACCUGCCCAUAAGACUGGGAUAACUCCGGGAAACCGGGGCUAAUACCGGAUAACAUUUUGAACCGCAUGGUUCGAAAUUGAAAGGCGGCUUCGGCUGUCACUUAUGGAUUGACCCGCGUCGCAUUAGCUAGUUGGUGAGGUAACGGCUCACCAAGGCAACGAUGCGUAGCCGACCUGAGAGGGUGAUCGGCCACACUGGGACUGAGACACGGCCCAGACUCCUACGGGAGGCAGCAGUAGGGAAUCUUCCGCAAUGGACGAAAGUCUGACGGAGCAACGCCGCGUGAGUGAUGAAGGCUUUUGGGUCGUAAAACUCUGUUGCUAGGGAAGAACAAGUGCUAGUUGAAUAAGCUGGCACCUUGACGGUACCUAACCAGAAAGCCACGGCUAACUACGUGCCAGCCGCCGCGGUAA
Molecule: ribosomal RNA, 515 nt
Filed under: uncultured bacterium
Lineage: Bacteria
Description: partial 16S ribosomal RNA
Rfam family: Bacterial small subunit ribosomal RNA
Source: RNAcentral